AAGGCCAGGGGGGCAGCAGUGAGGAAUAUUGGUCAAUGGUCGGGAGACUGAACCAGCCAAGCCGCGUGAGGGAUGAAGGUACAGAGUAUCGUAAACCUCUUUUGUCAGGGAACAAAGGCGGGGACGCGUCCCCGGAUGAGUGUACCUGAAGAAAAAGCAUCGGCUAACUCCGUGCCAGCAGCCGCGGUAAUACGGAGGAUGCGAGCGUUAUCCGGAUUUAUUGGGUUUAAAGGGUGCGCAGGCGGAAGAUCAAGUCAGCGGUAAAAUUGAGAGGCCCAACC
This 281-nucleotide ribosomal RNA is filed under the name uncultured bacterium. Its description in RNAcentral is "partial 16S ribosomal RNA". It matches the Rfam family "Bacterial small subunit ribosomal RNA", at positions 334 to 614 of the family's 1533-position model. The record is from RNAcentral.